Molecule: long non-coding RNA, 1393 nt
Organism: Empidonax traillii (willow flycatcher)
Lineage: Eukaryota; Metazoa; Chordata; Aves; Passeriformes; Tyrannidae
Exons: 5
Source: RefSeq, a predicted model, not a curated record
GAAGAGCUGGUGGCUCCCUAAAUCGUCCCGGGCUUUCAGCACGGAGCAUGGGGGAGGGUGCCACAGUGGGGUCCCCCCAGGGCACACACCCCCCCAUUUCUUUUUGGGGGAGAAGAGUUUUUCCCGUCAACUGCCUCCCAUGGCAGGGCUGGGAACGAAAAUCCCUGAGACCGACAGGAGCAGGAGGGUGUGGAGGACCCCCUCUGCACCACACUGAUGAAGAAUUUAAACUGCAGCAUUUCUUUUUUUCCAGUCCACGGAAGAUCCCGGCAGCUCCGGGCCACAGCCGCUCCGUGCCCGGGGUAGUUGGGAUGCUGGCAGUGGACACCGUUUCGGCAUAAUUUAACACAGUCUCUACCAAUUUGUUACAUCCAAGAAGAGGCAGAUGUGCAUCCAUAUUCAUUCUGGAGGAACUUCAGGAAUUACAACUUCAUCAGCCAAGGCCGCCCGCCACCGCCGCCAGCCCCAGUUCCUGUGCAGGAGGAGAAGGGGCCGUGCCAGGACAUUGGCCACAUCCAGCCCUGCUCAAGGGGUGUGCCAUGAGGUGCCCAGCCUAGAGGAGAGGAGCCCUGUUCCAGGCACAGGACAUGGACACACCACAUCCCCUCCCUGGCCAGCGCAGCUCCAGUGCUACAGAGUCAGCUCAGAUGGCUCCUGGCCGCAGGCUCCAGCUGCUCCUUGCCUGUCCCAGGGAUGCAGACCGAGGAUCUCGGUGCCGCUGCCUCUCCUGCAGCAUCCUGGGCAGGAGUGGCCCUGGAAAACACCCUGGUGAAGGUUCAAGGAGGACAGGCCAGGGCCCCCCGGCCAGGUGCUCAGCUAUUUUGGGUAGGGAGAAGGCAUGAUCAGCCCACAGCAACUUGAAAGAGAGCUUAGAUAUGAUUCCUGCACCAGGAGGGCCACCAGUGGGUACUGGUGUCCCUGGCCCCACCGCUGGUCCCGUUCCCAGCCUGUCCAUUGGCACAAGGCAAACCUGGAGCCACAGAAGAGCUCUCCACUUCAGAGCAAGUCCAGAGAAAUAAAGAGAAGAGAAAUAAACCCCUACGUUUGCUCUGCACUCAGCCCCGAGCUGUGGUUGUGUCUUGCUGCUCAAAGGAUUUCUGGGAAAGCUCCACCACUUUUAUUCCUUAAACACAGAGCAAAACAAUCAAUGGGGUUUUGAUAUCGCCUAAGCCCUGCCAGCCUGUUCAUGGGAAGCAGUGGUGAGUGGGUAGAGCUGUAAUGGUCUGAAAAGAAACAGGCACGGGAAAAGGCACAGCUGGAAUUCCCAGUGCUCCCAGUUGCUCUGUGCAGCCGCUGCACUGACUCUGGACAGAUCAAACAAGGAUCUGCACAUCCCUGGGUGUGGCCUGGGGAGGGUGCAGGUGGGACUAACCAUGAGCCACCCUCUGCUCCA